CGGGAAUUUUGGGCAAUGGGCGAAAGCCUGACCCAGCAACGCCGCGUGAGGGAUGAAGUAUUUCGGUAUGUAAACCUCGAAAGAAUGGGAAGAAUAAAUGACGGUACCAUUUAUAAGCUCCGGCUAACUACGUGCCAGCAGCCGCGGUAAUACGUAGGGAGCAAGCGUUGUUCGGAUUUACUGGGCGUAAAGGGCGCGUAGGCGGCGCGGUAAGUCACUUGUGAAAUCUCUGAGCUUAACUCAGAACGGCCAAGUGAUACUGCUGUGCUAGAGUGCGGAAGGGGCAACCGGAAUUCUUGGUGUAGCGGUGAAAUGCGUAGAUAUCAAGAGGAACACCUGAGGCGAAGGCGGGUUGCUGGGCCGACACUGACGCUGAUGCGCGAAAGCCAGGGGAGCAAACG
This 401-nucleotide ribosomal RNA is filed under the name uncultured bacterium. RNAcentral's name for it is "bacterial SSU rRNA". It matches the Rfam family "Bacterial small subunit ribosomal RNA", at positions 356 to 774 of the family's 1533-position model. The record is from RNAcentral.